This 440-nucleotide ribosomal RNA is filed under the name uncultured bacterium. Its description in RNAcentral is "partial 16S ribosomal RNA". It matches the Rfam family "Bacterial small subunit ribosomal RNA", at positions 338 to 795 of the family's 1533-position model. The record is from RNAcentral.
CCUACGGGUGGCAGCAGUGGGGAAUAUUGCACAAUGGGGGAAACCCUGAAGCAGCAACGCCGCGUGAGUGAAGAAGUAUUUCGGAAUGUAAAGCUCUAUCAGUAGGGAAGAAGAUGACGGUACCUGAGUAAUAAGCCCCGGCUAACUACGUGCCAGCAGCCGCGGUAAUACGUAGGGGGCAAGCGUUAUCCGGAUUCACUGGGCGUAAAGGGUGCGUAGACGGGGAGACAAGUCCGAGGUGAAAGCCCGGAGCUCAACCACGGGACUGCUUUGGAAACUGCCUGACUGGAGUGCUGGAGAGGCAAGCGGAAUUCGUGGUGUAGCGGUAAAAUGCGUAGAUAUUAGGAAGAACACCAGUGGCGAAGGCGGCUUGCUGGACAAUAACUGACGUUGAGGCUCGAAAGCGUGGGGAGCAAACAGGAUUAGAUACCCUAGUAGUC